RNAcentral lists this ribosomal RNA (231 nucleotides) under uncultured Staphylococcus sp. RNAcentral describes it as "partial 16S ribosomal RNA". It matches the Rfam family "Bacterial small subunit ribosomal RNA", at positions 109 to 334 of the family's 1533-position model. Lineage: Bacteria; Bacillati; Bacillota; Bacilli; Caryophanales; Staphylococcaceae. The record is from RNAcentral.
AGUAACACGUGGAUAACCUACCUAUAAGACUGGGAUAACUUCGGGAAACCGGAGCUAAUACCGGAUAAUAUAUUGAACCGCAUGGUUCAAUAGUGAAAGACGGUCUUGCUGUCACUUAUAGAUGGAUCCGCGCCGCAUUAGCUAGUUGGUAAGGUAACGGCUUACCAAGGCAACGAUGCGUAGCCGACCUGAGAGGGUGAUCGGCCACACUGGAACUGAGACACGGUCCAG